Molecule: ribosomal RNA, 475 nt
Filed under: uncultured Pelagibacterales bacterium
Lineage: Bacteria; Pseudomonadati; Pseudomonadota; Alphaproteobacteria; Candidatus Pelagibacterales
Description: bacterial SSU rRNA
Rfam family: Bacterial small subunit ribosomal RNA
Source: RNAcentral
UAGGGUUCGAUCCUGGCUCAGAACGUACGCUGGCGGCACGCCUAACACAUGCAAGUCGAACGAAGUAGCAAUACUUAGUGGCAGACGGGUGAGUAACAUGUGGGUAUCUGCCCUUUGGCCUGGAAUAACACGAGGAAACUUGUGCUAAUACCGGAUAAGUCUUUACAGAGAAAGCUUUAUGCACCAUUGGAUGAGCCCGCACUUGAUUAGUUUGUUGGUGGGGUAAUGGCCUACCAAGACUUUGAUCAAUAGCUGAUUUGAGAGGAUGAUCAGCCACAUUGGGACUGAGACACGGCCCAAACUCCUACGGGAGGCAGCAGUGGGGAAUCUUGCACAAUGGAGGAAACUCUGAUGCAGCGAUGCCGCGUGAGUGAAGAAGGCCUUUGGGUUGUAAAGCUCUUUCGUCGGGGAAGAAAAUGACUGUACCCGAAUAAGAAGGUCCGGCUAACUUCGUGCCAGCCGCCGCGGUAAUUCA